Long non-coding RNA from Dreissena polymorpha, 498 nucleotides. RefSeq lists it as uncharacterized. The transcript has 3 exons. The record is from RefSeq and is a predicted model, not a curated record. Lineage: Eukaryota; Metazoa; Mollusca; Bivalvia; Myida; Dreissenidae.
AAACAUACUUUAGAUGUAAAUGACAUAAAAUGUAAAAAAGUAUCAAGUGAAAAUGCAACAAGAGAAAUUUUUGCACAUAGAUGAAAACGACUUCAACAGUCGUCAAAGCACAACGAGACCAUAGGCGACAACGACGCCAUAAUUAGAUUCAACAACAACAACAACAACAAUGAUAAUGAUGGAUCAUACUUGGUUCCAAGUAAUUGAGAGUAGGUCUGACCCAGAUCACACAUACAGUGCCUGUGCCCAAAAAACUCAAGUACCCCUCACAAACGAGGAAGCAAGAGGGCAAUAUCAACUCCCACAGGAAAAACACCUAAACAUGAACAUACAAGGAUUAAACUGGAUGAAAAAACCAGACACAACAAAUGGUCCAUCGAAGAGAAAUCCUUUCUGAAAGAAUACAGUCAGAAAUUACGAAAAGAUAGCGAGUCAGAAACAGUUUCUGGAACAACUGUACAAUUGCCAUGAACAAAAUGUUUGGUGGAAAAAACAGAA